AUUGAACGCUGGCGGCAUGCCUUACACAUGCAAGUCGAACGGCAGCACGGGAGCAAUCCUGGUGGCGAGUGGCGAACGGGUGAGUAAUGUAUCGGAACGUGCCCAGUCGUGGGGGAUAACGCAGCGAAAGCUGUGCUAAUACCGCAUACGAUCUAUGGAUGAAAGCGGGGGAUCGCAAGACCUCGCACGAUUGGAGCGGCCGAUAUCAGAUUAGCUAGUUGGUGGGGUAAAAGCUUACCAAGGCGACGAUCUGUAGCUGGUCUGAGAGGACGACCAGCCACGCUGGAGCUGAGACACGGUCCAGACUCCUACGGGAGGCAGCAGUGGGGAAUUUUGGACAAUGGGCGCAAGCCUGAUCCAGCAAUGCCGCGUGCAGGAUGAAGGCCUUCGGGUUGUAAACUGCUUUUGUACGGAGCGAAAAGGCUCUCUCUAAUACAGGGGGCUCAUGACGGUACCGUAAGAAUAAGCACCGGCUAACUACGUGCCAGCCGCCGCCGUAA
RNAcentral lists this ribosomal RNA (500 nucleotides) under uncultured bacterium. Its description in RNAcentral is "partial 16S ribosomal RNA". It matches the Rfam family "Bacterial small subunit ribosomal RNA", at positions 30 to 523 of the family's 1533-position model. The record is from RNAcentral.